RNAcentral lists this ribosomal RNA (254 nucleotides) under uncultured bacterium. RNAcentral's name for it is "partial 16S ribosomal RNA". It matches the Rfam family "Bacterial small subunit ribosomal RNA", at positions 524 to 776 of the family's 1533-position model. The record is from RNAcentral.
UACAGAGGUCCCAAGCGUUGUUCGGAUUCACUGGGCGUAAAGGGCGCGUAGGCGGCCACCGCAAGUCAGUUGUGAAAUCUCUGGGCUUAACCCAGAAAGGUCAACUGAUACUGCGGGGCUAGAGUGCAGAAGGGGCAACUGGAAUUCUCGGUGUAGCGGUGAAAUGCGUAGAUAUCGAGAGGAACACCUGCGGCGAAGGCGGGUUGCUGGGCUGACACUGACGCUGAUGCGCGAAAGCUAGGGGAGCGAACGGG